CGCCGCCCCUCCCCCGCGCGGGUUGGUCUCAGCCCGGCGACCCCGGAGCGGUGGCCGGUGCGCAGGUGCAGAGCGCCACCUGGCGGCCGCGGGUCUCCGACCGGGGUCUGGGGAGACUGCCGCCGGGGUGCGAGCUGCCAGGUUGGAGAGGUGGACCGGGGUCUCUUCCUCCAGGAGCUGGGCUCUGCAGAGCGGGGACUUUGUUCUGUCACUGCUGUGCCCCCAGGGCCAGGCUGGCCCUCAGUAGAUGCCCCAUAACCGUUUGUUGAAAGGAUGGAUGGGCCAGCAGGAAAUUAUAGACGUGCCAACUGUCAACGUCACACAGCUUAGUUGGCAGCAAGAAAUCAUUUAUUAGAAGUACCCUCUGAACUUAGAGGAAAAGCCAAACUCCUUUGGAACAUACAUAACAGGGCUUGCUGACCCCUCAGACCCGGUCCCUUUCUCUUGCCUCCUUCCUGUUCUUUGGGGCCAGAACUUUCCCAGCCCCGGACCUCUACCCAGAUGUCACCCCCCCCCCCCACCGAAAGGAAGUGUUGCCCUCCUCUGCCUCACUUUUCUCGGUCUGUUCUGUGUAUUUCUUUUAUAGUGAGUACUUAGCACAAUGUGAAAGCGGCUUGUCUGCUUGCUCCCCCUGGGGGGAGGGGGUCUGUCUUGUUCCUCACCACAGCCCAGCGGCUGGAAUCCUUUGGGGACAAGGGAAUGAGGGCAGAUGGGCCGGACCCGGCACCUUCUCUUCACCGUUAUACCAUCCCACCACCCACGCCCUGGCCCCGGGGUGCCUGGCUCCACUGACCUGCCGCAGCCUGCAAGUCUGGGGUCGCGGGCUUGAGGAGAGAGCACCGCGGAGACCUCCAGCAUGUGCGCCCACUGUGCCUGUGAGGGCACCGACAGCCCCGUCCUCAGGGUGCCCGGCCUCUCUCCCCAGGCCUAAGCCCCCGAGACUCCACUCAUAAUACAAGGGCACACGGGUUCGAGCCCUGGUCCGGGAAGAUCGCACAUGCCGCAGAGCAACUGAGCCCGUGUGCCACAACUACUGAGCCUGCAGUCUAGAGCCCAUGAGCCACAACUACUGAGCCCACGUGCUGCAACUACUGAAGCUCGCGUGCCUAGAGCCCAUGAUCCGCAACAAGAGAAGCCACCGCAAGGAGAAGCCCGCGCACCGCAAGGAAGAGUAGCCCCCGCUGCACGCAACUAGAGAAAGCCCGUGUGCAGCAACAAACACCCAACACAGCCAAUAAAUAAAUAAAUAAAUAAAUAAAUAAAUUUAUUAAAAAAAUACGUUGACAGAUUUGGGAUGAGAGAAAUGUUCUAAAAUUAGACUGUGGUGAUGGUUGUAACUCCAUAAACUUACUAAAACUCAUUGAAAUGUAUGCUUAAGUUAACUUUAUGGUGUGUAGAUUAUACCACAAUUGCUUAAAAAUAAAUAAAUUAAAAACCA
This is a long non-coding RNA of Lagenorhynchus albirostris (white-beaked dolphin), 1438 nucleotides long. RefSeq lists it as uncharacterized. The record is from RefSeq and is a predicted model, not a curated record. The transcript is spliced from 2 exons. Lineage: Eukaryota; Metazoa; Chordata; Mammalia; Artiodactyla; Delphinidae.